Myotis brandtii (Brandt's bat) is the source of this 1754-nucleotide RNA transcript. It is a transcript of the gene named lipoxygenase homology domain-containing protein 1-like, with no coding region annotated. Lineage: Eukaryota; Metazoa; Chordata; Mammalia; Chiroptera; Vespertilionidae. The transcript is spliced from 9 exons. The record is from RefSeq and is a predicted model, not a curated record.
AGACAGACCCUUUCAUUGAGGAAACAGCUGGAGCCCAGAGAAGCAGAGUCUGGAUUCAAGUCUUGGUCUCAAUCACUGGCUUCGGAAUGAGGGCACGGUGCACCGCUUUUCUCAGUCUUGGUUGAUAUUUUUUCCAUUGAGGCAGUGCCCCUUGGAAAAUUGAAGAAAAUUCUGAUUGGUCAUGAUGGCACAGGUCCCGAUUUGUUGCUUCUGAAGAAAAAUACCUCCAGGAAAAGUUCACCUUUCUCCCCUUCUCUAUAUCCUGUUCAUGGUGGAGCAGAGCAUUCCUCAGGCUGUCGCAGGUUACGUUGAAUCCCAAGAGUUUUUACAAAGUUUCAUGUUGAGGGCAUAGUGCUAUGAUUCAAGUUCCUUUUCUGUAACCUGGCCUAUGUUUGAAGAGAGAAAUGAAGCUGAACAAGGUAAUUUCUGAAGAAUGAUUAAAGAUGCUUGAAAACAGAGGUUAUGUUCAUCUUUAUAAUUCCUGGAGCAAGCGCAGAAAGCAGAAAAGUAAUGCCUUUGCCAGUAAGACACCAAUAUUGGAAAUCAGAUGGAUUGAGUCCCUGCUGAGUGGCCAUUAAGGGAAGCUCGGUCUGCUAGGUCUUUAUACUGAUGUUUUCAACACCGUUGGAAGCAUAACUAUCCGCACUGAUGACUGGGCAACAACACUUUGGUCUACCAGCCAGCUCCAGGGCUUCAACUAAUUUUUAUUAUCAACAAGAUUAUUUUCAGGAUUCAAGUGCAACACAAGAUUCAGGAAUCUAAAGCUAUGUCUCUCUUCCCUCUGUCGAUGCUAAAACCAUAGCAGUAACAAGUCUUGACUUUCCUCACCCCAACCCUGGCCAGAUCCUCUUUUUCACCGUGAAGUACCUCUUGGACCAGAACUAUCACCUAUGAAAAAAGCUGUAGAAACCCAUUUUCUUGAUUCAGAGAACCCAGUCUACUUCCUCCAAGUUUUGAAAGCAAAGAACAAAGUCCAACUGACCUCAGUGUCCUUGGACUUAAUGAUACCCAGGGCUCAACCAGAAUGAGAGUCUCUGUGAAUGAAGCGCAUGCCAAUUUUGGUUAUAACUUGUCUAUUAAAUAACAUUUUGUGUUGAAUGCAUGAUGUGACAUCUACUCAGUAAUUAACUCCAGGGAAUUUCAAAUUCUUGGGGAGGCUAUUAUGGGUGGGCAGUUCACACAAUAUUCACUAUGUAUCCCUUGCAAGUUUAAGUGAACCAAAUUUCUCAUUUGAAUCUGCCUUCUGAAAAUUCUUUCACAAUUCUCUCUAUUCUUUCUCCUAUGUGUAGCAGACAAUCAGAUGUAACCUUUGUAAAUUUAGAAAAUAAAAACUGCUUUUGAGUAGAGAAAUUAUUUUGCUAGGCUUUUUAUGCUAUUUAAUUUAAUUAUUCACAUUCAUCCUCUGUACAUUUUUAAUGUAUUUAUACAAUUCCUUCAGAUUUUCCCAUUGUUCAAAAUAACAUCUAUAUAUUUUGGUGGAUGCUUUACUAAUGUCUGUUUAUUAUCACCUUAAAAAUUGUGUCAUGAUUUAAUUUAGUUCAAUUGAAUUCAAAUUCUCCUGAGAUUGUUUAGGUAAAAGACUAUCAUAUUUUUAUUCUUCCUGACAAAUGGUUUAUUAUGUUUCCACAAUUUAUCUAUAACAUACAUUUUGGAAGCAGCAGAAGCACUAAAACAUUAAAUAUCUAUUAUAAUUCUGGCUGAGUGUUGCUGGGUGUUUUUCUUUGCUUUGCUUUUUUUUUUUAAGUGCCACAUGA